Molecule: unclassified non-coding RNA, 309 nt
Filed under: plant metagenome
Description: partial contains 5.8S ribosomal RNA, internal transcribed spacer 2, and large subunit ribosomal RNA
Rfam family: 5.8S ribosomal RNA (bases 1-105)
Source: RNAcentral
GAAAUGCGAUAAGUAGUGUGAAUUGCAGAAUUCAGUGAAUCAUCGAAUCUUUGAACGCACAUUGCGCCCCUUGGUAUUCCAUGGGGCAUGCCUGUUCGAGCGUCAUUUGUACCCUCAAGCUCUGCUUGGUGUUGGGUGUUUGUCCCGUCUCCGCGCGUGGACUCGCCCCAAAGUGAUUGGCAGCCGGCGUACUGGUCCCGGAGCGCAGCACAUGUCGCGCAAACGAGUGCCUUGGUACGGCGGCGUCCAUAAGCCCCUCUCUUACGCUCUUGACCUCGGAUCAGGUAGGGAUACCCGCUGAACUUAAGC